Molecule: transfer RNA, 105 nt
Filed under: Macaca fascicularis (crab-eating macaque)
Lineage: Eukaryota; Metazoa; Chordata; Mammalia; Primates; Cercopithecidae
Also listed under: 4 other names
Rfam family: tRNA
About the family: Transfer RNA (tRNA) molecules are approximately 80 nucleotides in length. Their secondary structure includes four short double-helical elements and three loops (D, anti-codon, and T loops). Further hydrogen bonds mediate the characteristic L-shaped molecular structure. tRNAs have two regions of fundamental functional importance: the anti-codon, which is responsible for specific mRNA codon recognition, and the 3' end, to which the tRNAs corresponding amino acid is attached (by aminoacyl-tRNA synthetases). tRNAs cope with the degeneracy of the genetic code in two manners: having more than one tRNA (with a specific anti-codon) for a particular amino acid; and 'wobble' base-pairing, i.e. permitting non-standard base-pairing at the 3rd anti-codon position.
Source: Rfam by way of RNAcentral
GUCAGGAUGGCCGAGUGGUCUAAGGCGCCAGACUCAAGCUUGGCUUCCCCGUGUUGAGGAUUCUGGUCUCCAAUGGAGGCGUGGGUUCGAAUCCCACUUCUGACA